This 379-nucleotide ribosomal RNA is filed under the name uncultured Legionella sp. Its description in RNAcentral is "bacterial SSU rRNA". It matches the Rfam family "Bacterial small subunit ribosomal RNA", at positions 282 to 653 of the family's 1533-position model. Lineage: Bacteria; Pseudomonadati; Pseudomonadota; Gammaproteobacteria; Legionellales; Legionellaceae. The record is from RNAcentral.
GGUAGCUGGUCUGAGAGGACGGCCAGCCACACUGGAACUGAGAGACGGUCCAGACUCCUACGGGAGGCAGCAGUGGGGAAUAUUGGACAAUGGGGGGAACCCUGAUCCAGCAAUGCCGCGUGUGUGAAGAAGGCCUGAGGGUUGUAAAGCACUUUCAGUGGGGAGGAGGAUGAUUUGGUUAAGAGCUGAAUUAUUGGACGUUACCCACAGAAGAAGCACCGGCUAACUCCGUGCCAGCAGCCGCGGUAAUACGGGGGGUGCGAGCGUUAAUCGGAAUUACUGGGCGUAAAGGGUGCGUAGGUUGUUGACUAAGUUAUCUGUGAAAUUUCUGGGCUUAACCUGGGGCUGUCAGAUAAGACUGGUUGACUCGAGUACGGGA